AUGUUUGUAUAUAUUUUUACCAAUUCUACAGGUCAUUCACAUUUCACUACUGUCCACGGUACAAAUUUCCAUCCAAUAACCACAAUUACAACAACACCCAAAUCCACUAUGAACAAAAACACACAUGAUACGAAUAGUUUCAAUAUACAAGGUAAUGUCAAACAGAUCCAAAAAUAUGCAAGAAAGAGAAGAGAUUGCGGUUGCCGUCUCUGUCUCACGAAUUAG
Molecule: non-coding RNA, 225 nt
Organism: Vicia faba (fava bean)
Lineage: Eukaryota; Viridiplantae; Streptophyta; Magnoliopsida; Fabales; Fabaceae
Source: the annotation of a GenBank genome assembly